CCGCACUUUCCUCUCCGGGCGGGGCGGAAGCGCCUCUUCUGCCUGCAGGCCGAGGCCUCCUGGGUUCCGGUCCCUACCCCGCUGCAGCUCCUCGUGGCAGUUCUGGGUUCGAACCCGUACAGUGGGGACGACUGUGAAUGGGGCGGGUCUGGGCCUGGCCGCCCCUCCAAGGCUGCUGCUCGCCCUUGCUCGGCCCCGCCUGGGCCCCGGAGUGGGGAAGGGGCCGAGCUCGUGGGUUCUGCAUCGCUUCUUCCACGCGGUGUACUGGGAGCUGCUGCAGGAGAGGCAGAAUUUUGUCUCCUCUCAGCAUCUUGAAGACCUAGCACAAUACCUCCUAGCCUUUGCAAGAAAUCGUUAGUCAGAUUCACUGUAUGGCAGAGAACACAGUCACAUCAGGGAGAGAAAAU
RNAcentral lists this long non-coding RNA (407 nucleotides) under Heterocephalus glaber (naked mole-rat). RNAcentral describes it as "lncRNA (ENSHGLG00000050201.1)". The record is from RNAcentral. Lineage: Eukaryota; Metazoa; Chordata; Mammalia; Rodentia; Bathyergidae.